RNAcentral lists this ribosomal RNA (493 nucleotides) under uncultured bacterium. RNAcentral's name for it is "bacterial SSU rRNA". It matches the Rfam family "Bacterial small subunit ribosomal RNA", at positions 28 to 526 of the family's 1533-position model. The record is from RNAcentral.
GACGAACGCUGGCGGCGUGCUUAACACAUGCAAGUCGAACGAUGAAGCCCAGCUUGCUGGGUGGAUUAGUGGCGAACGGGUGAGUAACACGUGAGUAACCUGCCCUGGACUCUGGGAUAACCCCGAGAAAUCGGAGCUAAUACCGGAUAGGACCUUUCCCUGCAUGGGGUUUGGUGGAAAGUUUUUCGGUUUGGGAUGGACUCGCGGCCUAUCAGCUUGUUGGUGAGGUAAUGGCUCACCAAGGCGUCGACGGGUAGCCGGCCUGAGAGGGUGACCGGCCACACUGGGACUGAGACACGGCCCAGACUCCUACGGGAGGCAGCAGUGGGGAAUAUUGCACAAUGGGCGCAAGCCUGAUGCAGCAACGCCGCGUGCGGGAUGACGGCCUUCGGGUUGUAAACCGCUUUUAGUAAGGAAGAAGGGGAGCUUUGCUUCUUGACGGUACUUGCAGAAAAAGGACCGGCUAACUACGUGCCAGCCGCCGCCGUAACAC